Molecule: non-coding RNA, 24 nt
Filed under: Arabidopsis thaliana (thale cress)
Lineage: Eukaryota; Viridiplantae; Streptophyta; Magnoliopsida; Brassicales; Brassicaceae
Source: RNAcentral
UCAAUCACCACCUAGGAUGAUUGU